This 775-nucleotide ribosomal RNA is filed under the name uncultured Neocallimastigales. RNAcentral describes it as "partial large subunit ribosomal RNA". It matches the Rfam family "Eukaryotic large subunit ribosomal RNA", at positions 23 to 644 of the family's 3401-position model. Lineage: Eukaryota; Fungi; Neocallimastigomycota; Neocallimastigomycetes; Neocallimastigales. The record is from RNAcentral.
AGAGAGAGACAUGCGCGCAUAUCAAUAAGCGGAGGAAAAGAAACUAACAAGGAUUCCCUUAGUAACGGCGAGUGAAGCGGGAAGAGCUCAAAUUUGAAAUCUUCAAGGUUCUACCUUGACGAAUUGUAGUUUAUAGAAGUGUUUUCUGUUAGUGGAGUGGCAAAAGUUCUUUGGAAUAGGACAUCAUAGAGGGUGAGAAUCCCGUAUUUGGUCAUUCCUCCUAGCGUUGUGAUACACUUUCAACGAGUCGGAUUGUUUGGGAAUGCAGUCCAAAAUGGGUGGUAAAUUUCAUCUAAAGCUAAAUAUUGGCGAGAGACCGAUAGCGAACAAGUACCGUGAGGGAAAGAUGAAAAGAACUUUGAAAAGAGAGUUAAACAGUACGUGAAAUUGUCAAAAGGGAAGCGUUUGACACCAGUGUUGUUUUUCCGAAGAUCAAUUACGAAUGUUUUGUUUUUGAGGAGUUAUGACUUCAUCGGCUUGCUUCUUCCUUUACGAAACUUUCUUAAUGCACUUUUCGGUUAACAAGUCAACAUCAAUUUCUUUUGUUGUAAAAGGGUACGAGGAAGGUGGCUUUCUUUUCGGAGAAAGUGUUUAUAGCCUUGUGCCUCUGCAAUCGGAGAGAUUGAGGUCUGCAGCGUAGAUCCUUCGGGGUUAGAUACAGUUUGUGCUAAGUUAUAGCUUUUCAUAGACAACUUGUUGACUAUGUUUAGUCUUGUAGCUUACUCGCUGAUGCUAUUUUACCUACGCUUAGGAUGUUGAUAGUCACAGCGUGUAC